Molecule: transfer RNA, 66 nt
Filed under: marine eukaryotic metagenome
Rfam family: tRNA
About the family: Transfer RNA (tRNA) molecules are approximately 80 nucleotides in length. Their secondary structure includes four short double-helical elements and three loops (D, anti-codon, and T loops).
Source: RNAcentral
GGCGUAGCUCAGCUGGUAGAGCAUCUGAUUUGUAAUCAGAGGGUCGGGGGUUCGAUUCCCUUCGCC